GGGAAAGUAGCUCAGUGGUAGAGCACUUGCCUUGCAUGCAUGAGGCCCUGGGUUCAAUUCCUCAGCACCA
RNAcentral lists this transfer RNA (70 nucleotides) under Dipodomys ordii (Ord's kangaroo rat). It matches the Rfam family "tRNA". Rfam says of the family: Transfer RNA (tRNA) molecules are approximately 80 nucleotides in length. Their secondary structure includes four short double-helical elements and three loops (D, anti-codon, and T loops). Further hydrogen bonds mediate the characteristic L-shaped molecular structure. tRNAs have two regions of fundamental functional importance: the anti-codon, which is responsible for specific mRNA codon recognition, and the 3' end, to which the tRNAs corresponding amino acid is attached (by aminoacyl-tRNA synthetases). tRNAs cope with the degeneracy of the genetic code in two manners: having more than one tRNA (with a specific anti-codon) for a particular amino acid; and 'wobble' base-pairing, i.e. permitting non-standard base-pairing at the 3rd anti-codon position. Lineage: Eukaryota; Metazoa; Chordata; Mammalia; Rodentia; Heteromyidae. The record is from Rfam by way of RNAcentral.